RNAcentral lists this ribosomal RNA (466 nucleotides) under uncultured Rhodococcus sp. RNAcentral's name for it is "bacterial SSU rRNA". It matches the Rfam family "Bacterial small subunit ribosomal RNA", at positions 916 to 1381 of the family's 1533-position model. Lineage: Bacteria; Bacillati; Actinomycetota; Actinomycetes; Mycobacteriales; Nocardiaceae. The record is from RNAcentral.
ACGGGGCCCGCACAAGCGGCGGAGCAUGUGGAUUAAUUCGAUGCAACGCGAAGAACCUUACCUGGGUUUGACAUAUACCGGAAAGCUGCAGAGAUGUGGCCCCCCUUGUGGUCGGUAUACAGGUGGUGCAUGGCUGUCGUCAGCUCGUGUCGUGAGAUGUUGGGUUAAGUCCCGCAACGAGCGCAACCCUAUCUUAUGUUGCCAGCACGUUAUGGUGGGGACUCGUAAGAGACUGCCGGGGUCAACUCGGAGGAAGGUGGGGACGACGUCAAGUCAUCAUGCCCCUUAUGUCCAGGGCUUCACACAUGCUACAAUGGCCAGUACAGAGGGCUGCGAGACCGUGAGGCAAAGCGAAUCGCAAAAAGCCGGUCUCAGUACGGAUUGGAGUCUGAAACCCGACUCCAUGAAGUUGGAAUCGCUAGUAAUCGCGCAUCAGCAUGGCGCGGUGAAUACGUUCCCGGGCCUU